GACGAACGCUGGCGGCGUGCUUAACACAUGCAAGUCGAACGGAAAGGCCCUGCUUUUGUGGGGUGCUCGAGUGGCGAACGGGUGAGUAACACGUGAGUAACCUGCCCUUGACUUUGGGAUAACUUCCGGAAACUGGGGCUAAUACCGGAUAGGAGCUCCUGCUGCAUGGUGGGGGUUGGAAAGUUUCGGCGGCUGGGGAUGGACUCGCGGCUUAUCAGCUUGUUGGUGGGGUAGUGGCUUACCAAGGCUUUGACGGGUAGCCGGCCUGAGAGGGUGACCGGCCACAUUGGGGCUGAGAUACGGCCCAGACUGCUACGGGGGGCAGCAGUGGGGAGUAUUGCACAAGGGGCGGAAGCCUGAUGCAGCAACGCCGCGUGCGGGAUGACGGCCUUCGGGUUGUAAACCACUUUCGCCUGUGACGAAGCGUGAGUGACGGUAAUGGGUAAAGAAGCACCGGCUAACUACGUG
This 468-nucleotide ribosomal RNA is filed under the name uncultured bacterium. RNAcentral's name for it is "partial 16S ribosomal RNA". It matches the Rfam family "Bacterial small subunit ribosomal RNA", at positions 28 to 507 of the family's 1533-position model. The record is from RNAcentral.